This 250-nucleotide unclassified non-coding RNA is filed under the name plant metagenome. RNAcentral describes it as "partial contains small subunit ribosomal RNA, internal transcribed spacer 1, and 5.8S ribosomal RNA". The record is from RNAcentral.
GUAGGUGAACCUGCGGAGGGAUCAUUCACAUGAUUUACUUUUAACAAACUGUGAACUUUAUAUACUAUUCGUGUGUAUUAACUUGUUGUUAUCAACUUGUUAUUAUCACACUGUCAUUCGAUGAACAUUAGAUAGCUGGCUUGUUUUUCAUUAAACUUUCUCAGCUGAUUUGUUUUUGUUAGACUAAACAUCUAUUCAAUACAAUCAACCAAACAUAGAAACAACUCUAUGCCCUGGAUAUCUUGGUUCU